RNAcentral lists this long non-coding RNA (306 nucleotides) under Urocitellus parryii (Arctic ground squirrel). Its description in RNAcentral is "lncRNA (ENSUPAG00010003028.1)". Lineage: Eukaryota; Metazoa; Chordata; Mammalia; Rodentia; Sciuridae. The record is from RNAcentral.
CCAGAUCCCACGUGCCCUUUCCUGAGCCUCAACUGAUGCCUUUGGGACACAUCGGACUUGUCCUUCCUCAACUUCUAAGUUGCUCCGCUCAGGUCGUGCGUCGUUGGUGACUCUGGCGUGAAGGACCGAGAAACGAGUUCGUUGGACAUUUCCCAAAAGCUCGAUUUUCUCAGGACCCUGCCCCUCUUCCAGAGGGGAAUUUGAAGGAGGAGGACAGAAGAACUCAUAAACUCUUAGAAGUCUUAAAGCCAUGUCCAAGGAACAUUCCGCACCUCCACUGAGCACAUUAUUUGAGGUGAUUUUGAG